RNAcentral lists this unclassified non-coding RNA (403 nucleotides) under Hevea brasiliensis (rubber tree). Lineage: Eukaryota; Viridiplantae; Streptophyta; Magnoliopsida; Malpighiales; Euphorbiaceae. The record is from RNAcentral.
AAAUUUUACUCGUCAGUUUCAUUCUAGCUACAAUCCUUUGAUACUUGUGAUACAGCUUUAAUGGCAGACAUAGUUCUAUCUCCGGUUCUGCAGGUGAUUUUUGACAGACUAGCUUCUCCAAUACUACAAAAGGCUGCUGAUGUUUGGGGUCUCAAGGAUAACUUCAAGAACCUACAACAUGCCUUGUUAAUGGCACAAGCUGUUCUUGAAGAUGCAGAAGACCAGCAAGGAACCAAUAAGGCUGUCAGAACCUGGUUGUCAAAGCUUAAGGAUGCAGCUUAUCAUGCUGAGGACCUGCUUGAUCAAAUCACAGCUCAUACAAAGAUGUCUAAAACAGUGGAAACAGACUGGAUUUUCAGCUUCUUUAGAAAAACGGAGUUUGCAUAUGCAGAAAGAUUGAGAU